Molecule: long non-coding RNA, 136 nt
Organism: Sapajus apella (tufted capuchin)
Lineage: Eukaryota; Metazoa; Chordata; Mammalia; Primates; Cebidae
Exons: 4
Source: RefSeq, a predicted model, not a curated record
CAAUGCCCUACUGCUCUGGUACCAAUUUUCUUUAUUGGUCUAUUCUCACACUGAUAUAAAGAACUCCUUACACUGGGUAAUUUAUGAAGAAAAGAGGUUUAAUUCACUCACAGUCAGGACUGGGUAAAAAUGAGGA